UACGUAGGGUGCAGGCGUUAAUCGGAAUUACUGGGCGUAAAGCGUGCGCAGGCGGUUUGCUAAGACAGAUGUGAAAUCCCCGGGCUCAACCUGGGAACUGCAUUUGUGACUGCAUAGCUAGAGUACGGUAGAGGGGGAUGGAAUUCCGCGUGUAGCAGUGAAAUGCGUAGAUAUGCGGAGGAACACCGAUGGCGAAGGCAAUCCCCUGGACCUGUACUGACGCUCAUGCACGAAAGCGUGGGGAGCAAACAGG
Molecule: ribosomal RNA, 253 nt
Filed under: uncultured bacterium
Lineage: Bacteria
Description: partial 16S ribosomal RNA
Rfam family: Bacterial small subunit ribosomal RNA
Source: RNAcentral